UCCCAAUGGGGAUCACUCCUUUUGUUUUCCUGGCAACUUUGUAAAAAGCAAGAUAUGUGGCAUACGCAGGUUUUCUUCCCUCUUCAUCACAUAUCAUGAUCUUUGUAAUGAAUCAUUCCUUUGAAUAGUUCUUGAAUAUGUUUUUGAAUAUUUUUCGAAUAUUUUUAAAGAUUUUUCGAAUAUUUUUUAAUAUUUAUUUUAAUAUUUCUUGAAUAUUUCUUGAUUUUUUUUAAAUCUUUUUUUUUCACCAACCACUAACCCACUGGUUCCCAAUGGGGAUCACUCCUUUUGUUUUCCUGGCAACUUUGUAAAAAGCAAGAUAUGUGGCAUACGCAGGUUUUCUUCCCUCUUCAUCCCAUAUCAUGAUCUUUGUAAUGAAUCAUUCCUUUGAAUAGUGCUUGAAUAUGUUUUUAAACAUUUUUCGAAGAUUCUUUUGAAUAUUUUUUGAAUAUUUCUUGAUUUUUUUUUACAUUUUUUUUUUUUCACCAACCCUUUGCCCACUGGUUCCCAAUGGGGAUCACUCCUUUUGUUUUCCUGGCAACUUUGUACAAAGCAAGAUAUGUGGUAUACGCAGGUUUUCUUCCCCCUUCAUCACAUAUCAUGAUCUUUGUAAUGAAUCAUUCCUUUGAAUAGUCCUUGAAUAUGUUUUUGAAUAUUUUUCGAAUAUUUUUUAAUAUUUCUUUUAAUACUUCUUGAAUAUUUCUUGAAUAUUUCUUGAUUUUUUUAAAAAUCUUUUUUUUUCACCAACCACUAACCCACUGGUUCCCAAUGGGGAUCACUCCUUUUGUUUUCCUGGCAACUUUGUAAAAAGC
Molecule: long non-coding RNA, 812 nt
Organism: Gasterosteus aculeatus aculeatus (three-spined stickleback)
Lineage: Eukaryota; Metazoa; Chordata; Actinopteri; Perciformes; Gasterosteidae
Source: Ensembl